GCUUACGUGACACCCGUUGCUCUUGGCUGCCAUUACGCCACACCCUUGGAGAAGAGCUCAAAGGCGAGACGACCGUUGCUCCGAAGCUCAACUCCGGCCGCCGGAUCAUAGCCAUUUUCUUAGGAUUUUCGGGCGAGACCCCCGGAUCACCAACCACCGGAUCGAAGCCAUCAAAGGAGGAAGGCUAGAGUCCUCAGAUCUAGGCUGAUCUUCAACCAUUGAAGGACUAGACAACAAAUCAACCAUCCAGCAAUUGAAUCCACGCAAAAGGGUAGUUUGUUGAUCAUUAAGGAAAGGAAGAUGGAGGAAGGGAUGCAGUGAGGCCUACAAGCUCAAGUAGUUCAUUGAAAUCCAUGCCUGACAGAGUUAAUUAGGAACAUGUGCUCACAGGUGGCCAUGGACUUAUGGUGCAAGGUUAUUAUUCUCUAAUAAAUGCUCUUGCCAAGGACCUUGAUAUCCGUCUAAAUCAUAGGUAUGUAUUUAUGACCACAAGUAUUGACACUGAU
Molecule: long non-coding RNA, 506 nt
Organism: Dioscorea cayenensis subsp. rotundata (Guinea yam)
Lineage: Eukaryota; Viridiplantae; Streptophyta; Magnoliopsida; Dioscoreales; Dioscoreaceae
Exons: 4
Source: RefSeq, a predicted model, not a curated record